This 441-nucleotide ribosomal RNA is filed under the name uncultured bacterium. RNAcentral describes it as "partial 16S ribosomal RNA". It matches the Rfam family "Bacterial small subunit ribosomal RNA", at positions 338 to 795 of the family's 1533-position model. The record is from RNAcentral.
CCUACGGGUGGCAGCAGUGGGGAAUAUUGCACAAUGGGGGAAACCCUGAUGCAGCAACGCCGCGUGAGUGAAGAAGUAUUUCGGUAUGUAAAGCUCUAUUAGCAGGGAAGAAGAAAGACGGUACCUGACUAAGAUGCCCCGGCUAACUACGUGCCAGCAGCCGCGGUACUACGUAGGAGGCAAGCGUUAUCCGGAUUUACUGGGUGUAAAGGGAGCGUAGACGGCUGUGCAAGUCGGAGGUGAAAGCCCGUGGCUCAACCGCGGAACUGCUUUGGAAACUGUAUAGCUUGAGUACUGGUGAGGCAGGCGGAAUUCGUAGUGUAGCGGUGAAAUGCGUAGAUAUUAGGAAGAACACCGGUGGCGAAGGCGGCCUGCUAGACAGAAACUGACGUUGAGGCUCGAAAGCGUGGGGAGCAAACAGGAUUAGAUACCCGGGUAGUC